Long non-coding RNA from Nothoprocta perdicaria, 2249 nucleotides. RefSeq lists it as uncharacterized. The record is from RefSeq and is a predicted model, not a curated record. The transcript is spliced from 4 exons. NCBI's taxonomy places the organism in Eukaryota, Metazoa, Chordata, Aves, Tinamiformes, Tinamidae.
GUUUAUAUUUGUGUAGGAUGCAGUCAGACCUUAGAACUGCCCUUACAUGUAGAGACUAGAGGGAGAGAAAGUGACCAGAGAUAUGAAACAAGUUAAUAUCAGAGAAGAAAUUAAAAGGCAGAUCUCCUGAAACCUAAUAUAGAGUAGUAACAGCUUGAGGGUACUGCUCCAAUAGGCCCUGCAUGGCUCAGUAGCUGGAAGCAGGAUGGAAAAGAGGACCCACUGACCAUCUUUUCUAGUUAAUUGGCGAGCUGGGGAAAGUCAGCAUUUCUUCUUGUUAAUAUUAGGCUUAGCCUGUCUUUCAGCCUGUUCUUUUUGCACAGCCUAGGAAGCGAAUACUGGGAGUACCUAACCUUACUCCAUGGGUGCUAAAAAUUUCUAUCCUCUGGCUGAGGAAAUCUGCCUGCAGCUGCUGUGCAAGUGCUAUUGUGAUGUGCUGCCUUUGGAGGCCUGAUGGCAUUAGUGAGCCUAGAGCCUCUACCAAUGUCCAGCUCUUGCAGCUCAGUCUGUCCUAAAUUCUAAAUGAAGUACCUUGAAAAGAACUUCAACACCGCUGCCUCUCGGGCAAGAAUGAGAAUUGCUUCAGAGUCCCAUUCUUUCCUUGGUCUACAUCCCACUCCAGCAUCACUUCAGAGCCUGGUUAAGUGCAAAAGCAGCCAGUCAAGAACCUUCAGUCUUCUCUGGAAGAUAAACAGCCUGCGUUUGAAGAGAUAUUAAACAAAGACCAACAGAAGAUGAGCUAAAAAUGCAUUGAAAGCACAGCUCUGGCACAAUUAUGCAAAAAGCACAAGAGAGAAAGAGGGAGAAAGAAUGGAUAUUCUGUAUGACAUCUGAUUAAAUUUUCAGAACAAAUGACUGAAAAAAGAGGACAUGACCCUCUCAAACAGGGCUCUUGAAACCACCAAGGCUCAGCAAGCAGAGUGGAUGUUUUAUGGCAAUUAAAGGAUUCUGGCCUGUUGUACUACAAGGCAAAUGAUCUGGAUACACGCAGUCUCCUCCAACUGUGCGUAGUCAGUGCUCUGUAUCUGCUGUCUUCUGGACUGAAAAAAGACAUGGCAAUCAUCCGCACAUGGAAAAAGCAUAUUGUUUCUUUUUUUAAUUGCAGAAAGUAAUUCAAAAUGACAAAACUGCCUAUCCAAAUGUUUCUCUCCAUUCUGUGCAGACUCUUCCCUAGAUUUGGUUCUAUGGCCAGAUCUAGAAUGAAUGUCUGCAUCUCCAUUUGACCUAGGACUGUGGCUUUGAGGAUCUCUAAUGACAGAGCCUUCAGAUGGCAGCAUCCUACAGGCUGCUUAUCCUUCUUUUUCCUGUUCCCUCUUUUCAAGUGCAUAUUUAACAGCUGCAGUGGUGUGUAUCUCAUUUUCCACCACAGAUGAUAGUUUCUAACAGCUGAAGAAGCAGACAUUACCUGGAAUCAAACACUGGGAUGCAAUUAGCUGCUCAUGUAAGUCCAUGGCAAGUAUCUCAAAGGCAGCAUUAUGGUCUUUUCUGCUUUUUUUCCCUAUAGCUGCAGCUAUGUAAUUGCUCAACUGUUGAGUGUCUAGUAGCAUUCCUGAAGAACCAUGAACCAUGAUUGCUUGCUCUAGUACUGCCAGAAAAGCACUGCUGGCAUUGGUAUUAAAGGGGCCUCAUUCAGCAGCCCUGUAGCCUAACAUUGCUUUAAGUUGUCAGAUUCUCACUUACUGUUUCCCCUGUCUCUUUAGUUGAUUUAUGGGCACCUUGGAUGCCUACUGGCCCUCAGCUAAAAGCCAGGGGGCUUUUAGCCAUAAUUUUAGAACCAUUAGAACCACAGAACCAUUUAGAACCAUAAUUUUAGAACCAUUUUGUCUCGCUAUUCCUCUGGACACAAUUCUUUCCUGAAGAUGCUGAACAUAUAAUACAAGGCUAUUAUUCAGAGUAUGCUAAAACUUGCAUAAUUUAAGUAUGAUAUUUAAUAUAUUUCUACUGAAUGCAGGUCUUGAAUAAACAGUUGCCUAAAGUAACCCAUGGGAAAUGUCAUGUGAGCUGGAUACCUAAUCACCCUGUUUACCUCCUUGUACCGUUCUGGCAGGCUGGACGCUUUGCUGAUGCUACCUAUGCAAAGGGUUUUUAUUGCACUGCUUAGAAUGACAUUGCAUCAUCUCAUACAGGGAGAGUUCAAAACAGGCUUGUGAUUACAAGGGCUAGCUAUGUGUGCUGCUGCUUUUUCUCCCUCUGAUGAGAAAACUGGUGGGAAAUCAAAGAACAGGGGAGAAAGGAGAUGCUUCUCUCCA